AAGACACCUCCCCAUAACAGAUUUGGAUCAACCAAAAGGAAGAGAAAGAGGGGGCUUGCAGAUGAGAAAACCAAGACCAAGCCCGGAUCGCACACGCGGUGAGAGGCCACACUGGAACAAGCGCUAACGGCAGAGAACUGUCCCCAGCGCUCACUGUGUGUCAGGUGCCAAGCGCUCCAUCGUCUGCAGCCUCCUCUUACUGACCAGCUCUCAUCCACUCCUCUCAACCCCGGGCAGCUGACGACACGAGCACUCGGAGCCCAGGCCCCAGUGGCUCUUACCCCUUCGUUACAGUUAUUGAAGGUAAUACACGGUGCGGUACAGCCCAGCCCCCCAACCCAGCCCGGUCCAACAGGCUAGGAAUCUCAAGGCCUCUAACUGGUCUGGGGCGGGAUGAGCAGGGGCCCUCGGCGGGGGAGACUAUUUAGGUGGAAAGUGGUGGAAAGGCCCCUCUUGCUCUCCCACCACAUUCUCUCCUCUCCCGCCAGGUCACCCUGCCCUCCUCAUACUCCGGUUCCUUCCCCAUCAUCCUUUCUUCCCUGAUAUUCCCUACCCCUCCCUCCCCCCCAAUCCCUCCCUCCCUGCACACACACCCUGCCCUUUCCCCUACGUCUCCCGUCCCGUCCCGUCCCCCUACAUUCUUCUCCCGCCUCCAUCCCACAACGCCCCUCCCCGCGCCCCCC
RNAcentral lists this long non-coding RNA (683 nucleotides) under Equus asinus (donkey). Its description in RNAcentral is "lncRNA (ENSEASG00005033939.1)". The record is from RNAcentral. Lineage: Eukaryota; Metazoa; Chordata; Mammalia; Perissodactyla; Equidae.